Long non-coding RNA from Zingiber officinale, 774 nucleotides. RefSeq lists it as uncharacterized. The record is from RefSeq and is a predicted model, not a curated record. NCBI's taxonomy places the organism in Eukaryota, Viridiplantae, Streptophyta, Magnoliopsida, Zingiberales, Zingiberaceae. The transcript is spliced from 2 exons.
AAGAAAUCUGCUCAUGCUUACAAAUAAACCGAAAUACUUAAAUCACAUGCUGUUCAUGUCCAGUUAAUGACAUAUUACUAAAAUCUGCACAUUCUGAUUUAUUCUAACAAAGUGGGACACAUGGAAAGGAUGCAGUUAAUACUUAAUGAAGUUAAUACUUAUUGAACUAAAAUUCUGCACUUAUCAAAUCUACAACUAAAAUCCGGAAACCAAAGAAACCACAUCCGAAACACUAACUAUAAGGCUGUUCUGUACUGCAUACUUUAAAUAAAGGCUAUUCUUGCCUUUUUGAGUUGCAAGGAAGAUACUAAUCCUAUUCUUAUACAUGGCAGCGAGAUGAAACACUAAUACUACAAAGUGAACAGCCGAAAUUCUCAAAAAUCAGCAAGCAUAAAUAGAACCUGUUUACACACUUUGAUUUGCAAUCUAGAUCAUGCUAACCUUCUAGAAAAGAACUAAACUCAACAAUAACUAGCAUACCUAGCCAAUGUUAUAGAUUAGCUACGCCACUGAUUUGUAUCUCACAGCAGGAAACAACAUAACAGGUAAUCUAAACAUUUCUUACUGCGCUUACUUGCUAAGAAUUAAAAUGAACUCCUUCUAUACAUUUAAACUCAAACCAUAAAUUAGCAUGCUUAAUAUGUAUGCUACGGAAGGUAAGGAAUGAAAGGGAAAAAAAAAACCCUAGCUUAUAAUCCUGUUCAACAGCCACCCAAGCAGGAAACUUUCGGCACAGCAACUUAGCAUGGCAAUUUGGCAUAGCAACUUCAAAAA